This 107-nucleotide ribosomal RNA is filed under the name Meriones unguiculatus (Mongolian gerbil). The record is from RNAcentral. Lineage: Eukaryota; Metazoa; Chordata; Mammalia; Rodentia; Muridae.
GUCUAUGGCCAUACCAUCCUGAACGCGCCCGAUCUUGUCUGAUCUCGGAAACCUAAUUUAAACUGGCCCAUAUGUUUUGAGAGAACAUGAAUAAAUAGCGCUUGAUU